Molecule: ribosomal RNA, 527 nt
Filed under: uncultured bacterium
Lineage: Bacteria
Description: bacterial SSU rRNA
Rfam family: Bacterial small subunit ribosomal RNA
Source: RNAcentral
CUUGCUACCUGACCUAGCGGCGGACGGGUGAGUAAUGCUUAGGAAUCUGCCUAUUAGUGGGGGACAACAUUCCGAAAGGAAUGCUAAUACCGCAUACGCCCUACGGGGGAAAGCAGGGGAUCUUCGGACCUUGCGCUAAUAGAUGAGCCUAAGUCAGAUUAGCUAGUUGGUGGGGUAAAGGCCUACCAAGGCGACGAUCUGUAGCGGGUCUGAGAGGAUGAUCCGCCACACUGGGACUGAGACACGGCCCAGACUCCUACGGGAGGCAGCAGUGGGGAAUAUUGGACAAUGGGCGAAAGCCUGAUCCAGCCAUGCCGCGUGUGUGAAGAAGGCCUUUUGGUUGUAAAGCACUUUAAGCGAGGAGGAGGCUACCGAGAUUAAUACUCUUGGAUAGUGGACGUUACUCGCAGAAUAAGCACCGGCUAACUCUGUGCCAGCAGCCGCGGUAAUACAGAGGGUGCGAGCGUUAAUCGGAUUUACUGGGCGUAAAGCGUGCGUAGGCGGCUUUUUAAGUCGGAUGUGAAAUC